Molecule: ribosomal RNA, 580 nt
Filed under: Sertularella diaphana
Lineage: Eukaryota; Metazoa; Cnidaria; Hydrozoa; Leptothecata; Sertulariidae
Description: partial large subunit ribosomal RNA
Rfam family: Bacterial large subunit ribosomal RNA
Source: RNAcentral
CCAAAAACAUAGCCCCAGAACAAAUUUGAGGUGUAACCUGCCCAAUGAUUUUAAAUUAAAAAUACUUAAAAAUUAUUUAAUAAAAUUAAAAGGACGCGGUAACCUUGACCGUGAUAAUGUAGCAUAAUCAUUCGCCAUUUAAUUGAUGGAUAGUAUGAAUGGUCAAACGAAUAUUCCACUGUCUUAAAAAAAAAGCCACAAAAAUUAGAAUAAUAGUAAAGAUACUAUUUAAAAUUGUAAGACGAAAAGACCCUAUAGAGCUUAACUAUAAAUUUUUUUUUUUAGAAAAAUUGGUAGUUUAGUUGGGGCGACUAUCUUCUAAAAAUAACGAAGAUAAGCAAAUAUUAAUAAAAAAUUUACUGUACAAUAAAUCUAUUUAACAGUUACAAAAGUAGGCUAUAAUGACCCGUUACUAUUUUAUAAAAAACAUAACGAUUAAUAAAUAAAAGCUACCUUAGGGAUAACAGGAUAAUUUUAUUUUAGAGAUCUAAUCGAAAAUAAAGUUUGUCACCUCUAUGUUGAAUUAAGAUAUCCUGACGAUGCAGCAGUUGUCAAAGGUAGGUCUGUUCGACCUUUAAAA